GAUGAAGAACGCAGUGAAAUGCGAUAAGUAGUGUGAAUUGCAGAAUUCAGUGAAUCAUCGAAUCUUUGAACGCACAUUGCGCCCCUUGGUAUUCCAUGGGGCAUGCCUGUUCGAGCGUCAUUUACACCCUCAAGCUCUGCUUGGUGUUGGGCGUCUGUCCCGCUGCUUUGCGCGGACUCGCCUCAAAGGUAUUGGCAGCGAUCAUGCCAGCUUCUCGCGCAGCACAUUGCGCUUCUUGAAGUUCUGGUGGAUCAGCGUCCAUUAAGCUUACCUUCAUGACUUGACCUCGGAUCAGGUAGGGAUACCCGCUGAACUUAAGCAUAUCAAUAAGCGGAGGA
Molecule: unclassified non-coding RNA, 338 nt
Filed under: soil metagenome
Description: partial contains 5.8S ribosomal RNA, internal transcribed spacer 2, and large subunit ribosomal RNA
Rfam family: 5.8S ribosomal RNA (bases 1-120)
Source: RNAcentral